RNAcentral lists this ribosomal RNA (108 nucleotides) under Faecalibacillus faecis. Its description in RNAcentral is "partial 23S ribosomal RNA". It matches the Rfam family "Bacterial large subunit ribosomal RNA", at positions 2820 to 2925 of the family's 2925-position model. Lineage: Bacteria; Bacillati; Bacillota; Erysipelotrichia; Erysipelotrichales; Coprobacillaceae. The record is from RNAcentral.
CGCAAGCAAGUAAGACCCCUUAAAGACGAUAAGGUAGAUAGGUCAGGAGUGUAAGCAUGGUGACAUGUUAAGCGGACUGAUACUAAUAGGUCGAGGGCUUGACCGAAA